This 164-nucleotide small nuclear RNA is filed under the name Octodon degus (degu). RNAcentral's name for it is "U1 spliceosomal RNA (ENSODEG00000020935.1)". It matches the Rfam family "U1 spliceosomal RNA". Rfam says of the family: U1 is a small nuclear RNA (snRNA) component of the spliceosome (involved in pre-mRNA splicing). Its 5' end forms complementary base pairs with the 5' splice junction, thus defining the 5' donor site of an intron. There are significant differences in sequence and secondary structure between metazoan and yeast U1 snRNAs, the latter being much longer (568 nucleotides as compared to 164 nucleotides in human). The record is from Rfam by way of RNAcentral. Lineage: Eukaryota; Metazoa; Chordata; Mammalia; Rodentia; Octodontidae.
AUACAUACCUGGCAGGGGAGGUACCAUGAUCACGAAGGUGGUUGUCCCAGGGCGAGGCUUACCAUUGCACUGCAGAUGAGUUGACCUCUGUGAUUUCCUCAAAUGUGGGAAAACUCAACCGCAUAAUUUAUGGUAGUGGGGGACUGCAUCCGUGCUUUCCCCUG